UGUCAAAUCAUCACGUCCCUUAUGUCUUGGGCUACACACGUACUACAAUGACUACUACAAAGAGAAGCGAAACCGCGAGGUGGAGCAAAACUGAAAAAAGUAGUCCUAGUUCGGAUUGAAGGCUGCAACUCGCCUUCAUGAAGCUGGAAUUGCUAGUAAUCAUAGGUCAGCAUACUAUGGUGAAUACGUUCCCGGGCCUU
RNAcentral lists this ribosomal RNA (200 nucleotides) under uncultured prokaryote. RNAcentral describes it as "partial 16S ribosomal RNA". It matches the Rfam family "Bacterial small subunit ribosomal RNA", at positions 1183 to 1382 of the family's 1533-position model. The record is from RNAcentral.